This 507-nucleotide ribosomal RNA is filed under the name uncultured bacterium. RNAcentral describes it as "bacterial SSU rRNA". It matches the Rfam family "Bacterial small subunit ribosomal RNA", at positions 29 to 524 of the family's 1533-position model. The record is from RNAcentral.
AGUGAACGCUGGCGGCAGGCCUAAUACAUGCAAGUCGAACGGCAGCACAGCAGAGCUUGUUCUGUGGGUGGCGAGUGGCGGACGGGUGAGGAAUACGUGGGAAUCUGCCCAGUCGUGGGGGAUAACGUAGGGAAACUUACGCUAAUACCGCAUGCGCCCUUCGGGGGAAAGCCGGGGACCUUCGGGCCUGGCGCGAUUGGAUGAGCCCACGUCGGAUUAGCUAGUUGGCGGGGUAAAGGCCCACCAAGGCGACGAUCCGUAGCUGGUCUGAGAGGAUGAUCAGCCACACUGGAACUGAGACACGGUCCAGACUCCUACGGGAGGCAGCAGUAGGGAAUAUUGGACAAUGGGCGCAAGCCUGAUCCAGCCAUGCCGCGUGAGUGAAGAAGGCCCUCGGGUUGUAAAGCUCUUUUGUCCGGAAAGAAAAGCGCCGGGUUAAUACCCUGGUGUCCUGACGGUACCGGAAGAAUAAGCACCGGCUAACUUCGUGCCAGCAGCCGCGGUAAU